AUUGAACGCUGGCGGCAGGCUUAACACAUGCAAGUCGAACGAGUGGCGGACGGGUGAGUAAUGUCUGGGAAUCUAGCUUAUGGAGGGGGAUAACUACGGGAAACUGUAGCUAAUACCGCGUACCAUCGGAUGUGCCCAAGUGGGAUUAGGUAGUUGGUGGGGUAAAGGCUCACCAAGGCGACGAUCUCUAGCUGGUCUGAGAGGAUGACCAGCCACACUGGGACUGGGAAACGGCCCAGAAUCCUACGGGAGGCAGCAGUGGGGAAUAUUGGGCAAUGGGGGCAACCCUGACGCAGCCAUGCCGCGGGAAAGAAGAAGGCCUUCGGGUUGUAAAGUACUUUCAGGCGGGAGGCGUUACCGACAGAAGAAGCACCGGCUAACUCCGUGCCAGCAGCCGCGGUAAUAC
RNAcentral lists this ribosomal RNA (406 nucleotides) under uncultured bacterium. RNAcentral's name for it is "partial 16S ribosomal RNA". It matches the Rfam family "Bacterial small subunit ribosomal RNA", at positions 29 to 526 of the family's 1533-position model. The record is from RNAcentral.